GCUAUAAGAUGGCUAUGCGUUCUAUUAGCUAGUUGGUAUGGUAACGGCAUACCAAGGCAACGAUAGAUAGGGGUCCUGAGAGGGAGAUCCCCCACACUGGUACUGAGACACGGACCAGACUCCUACGGGAGGCAGCAGUGAGGAAUAUUGGACAAUGGAGGCAACUCUGAUCCAGCCAUGCCGCGUGUAGGAAGACUGCCCUAUGGGUUGUAAACUACUUUUAUAGAGGAAGAAACAGUUCCACGUGUGGAACUCUGACGGUACUCUACGAAUAAGGAUCGGCUAACUCCGUGCCAGCAGCCGCGGUAAUACGGAGGAUCCAAGCGUUAUCCGGAAUCAUUGGGUUUAAAGGGUCCGUAGGCGGGUCUGUAAGUCAGUGGUGAAAGUUUUCGGCUCAACCGGAAAAUUGCCAUUGAUACUGCAGGUCUUGAAUCAUUAUGAAGUGGUUAGAAUAAGUAGUGUAGCGGUGAAAUGCAUAGAUAUUACUUAGAAUACCGAUUGCGAAGGCAGAUCACUAAUAAUGUAUUGACGCUAAGGGACGAAAGCGUGGGUAGCGAACAGGAUUAGAUACCCUGGUAGUCCACGCCGUAAACGAUGGUUACUAGCUGUUCGGACUUCGGUCUGAGUGGCUAAGCGAAAGUGAUAAGUAACCCACCUGGGGAGUACGUUCGCAAGAAUGAAACUCAAAGGAAUUGACGGGGGCCCGCACAAGCGGUGGAGCAUGUGGUUUAAUUCGAUGAUACGCGAGGAACCUUACC
RNAcentral lists this ribosomal RNA (758 nucleotides) under Aquimarina sp. AD29. Its description in RNAcentral is "bacterial SSU rRNA". It matches the Rfam family "Bacterial small subunit ribosomal RNA", at positions 217 to 975 of the family's 1533-position model. Lineage: Bacteria; Pseudomonadati; Bacteroidota; Flavobacteriia; Flavobacteriales; Flavobacteriaceae. The record is from RNAcentral.